Osmerus eperlanus (European smelt) is the source of this 3241-nucleotide RNA transcript. It is a transcript of the gene named calpain-2 catalytic subunit-like, with no coding region annotated. NCBI's taxonomy places the organism in Eukaryota, Metazoa, Chordata, Actinopteri, Osmeriformes, Osmeridae. The transcript is spliced from 22 exons. The record is from RefSeq and is a predicted model, not a curated record.
CGCUGUAAGGUAAACUAUACAUACACAAGCAGCAGCUUGCAUCUCUUUUGUUUUGUCUGAAGACUGGAGUUCUAUCUAUUCGUCUUUUCCAAAGCAUCUGGGAUACCUUUCUGCAACAAUGCCUCCUCCUGGUGUGUGUCUAAAUAUCAUGAAAGAGCGCCACAAGAAAGAUGGCCGUGGUAGCCUUGCCAACCCCCUGAAAUUCCUCAACCAAGACUUUGAACAGAUGAAGCAGUACUGUAUUGCUCGGGAGGUUCGCUUUGUCGAUGACAUGUUUCCCCCAGACCAUAAUUCAAUUGGCGAAGGACUACUGUCCCCCUCCGACAUGGGAAGAGUGCAGUGGCUGAGGCCACAUAGAAUUGCCCAGAAUCCCUCUUUUAUUGUUGAUGGAAUUUCAAGAUUUGAUUUUGGGCAAGGCAUAGUUGGUAACUGCUGGUUCCUUGCCUCCAUUGGGGCACUGACAUUCCAAAAGCAUAUCCUGGAACAAGUUGUGCCUCUCAAUCAAUCAUUUCAACAAGAAUAUUGUGGAAUAUUCCAUUUCAGGUUCUGGAGGUUUGGAAAGUGGGAGGAUGUUUUGAUUGAUGACAAGCUACCGACAAUUGACGGCAAUCUAAUUUUUGUCCGAUCCAAAACUCCAAAUGAGUUUUGGCCUGCUUUGGUGGAGAAGGCAUACGCCAAAGUUUGUGGCUCCUAUGCAGACAUGAAUGCAGGGACGCCCUCUGAGGCUUUGGUGGAUUUUACUGGCGGGAUCCACUUGUGUAUCCAGCUUGCAGAAGGCUCCCCUAACCUAUGGGAUCUAAUGUCUAGAGCUGCCCAAGCAAAAUCACUGAUGGGGUGUGGUACUCCUCAAGGGGAAACAUCAGCCAACACUGUUGCAGAGAACGGAUUAGUGAGGGGCCAUGCAUAUACUGUUACAGGUGUCACUGAGCUCACGAGAAAUGGAAGACCAGUGAAACUGGUGCGUCUGUGGAACCCCUGGGGCGAAAGGGAAUGGAACGGGGAUUGGAGCGACAAGUCCCCCUUGUGGCAGAACGUGAGUCCUGAGGAUCGUCUGAAAUGUCUCUCAGUGAAGGAUGACGGAGAAUUCUGGAUGACAAUUGAGGAUUUCUGCAGCAACUACUCAGAUUUGGAUAUCUGCUCUCUGUGCCCUGACUUCCUUGAUGGAAAUGCAUCAUGUCACUGGGGUUGUUCCGUCCAUGAUGGCAGAUGGCUUGCUGGAACUACUGCUGGUGGAUGUUUAAAUUAUCGAGACAGUUUCUGGACAAACCCUCAGUAUCGGUUAAAGAUUGAAGGUCUGGAUGAGGAUUGUGCUGAGAAACAAGGGGAAAAAAACAUGCUGGUCUCUCUGAUGCAGAAGCCUGACAAGCGAAACAGACGCCUGGUUAAAACCCUCCACAUUGGAUUCUCCAUUUUUGAGGUGCCUGAACAAUACAAGCGUCUAGAAGGAAAGUUCCCAGCAUCUUUCUUUGCCACCAAUGCACCUGUGGGUCAAUCCAAGAAUUAUCUAAAUGCUCGUGAAGUCAUGGAGCUGUUCCGUCUGAAGCCUGGUGAAUAUCUGAUCGUGCCAUCCACCUUCAAACCGAAUGAAACAGCAUCUUUCAUCUUGUCCAUCCUUUCCAAGGCAGAGACCAACAUCCAUGAAAAUUCUGAUGGUCAUGACCACAUGGAAGUCACAAAGCCCAAACCAAUGGAAAAUGAAGACAAUGAAGACAAUAAAAACAAGAAAACGCUUUUUCGCCAAUACUCUGACAAGUAUGAAGAAGUGGAUGCUGAGUUGCUUCAAAAGAUUUUGAACGACAAUGUUCUUAAGGGACAAACAAACAAUGGUGGCUUCAGCCUAGAUUCCUGUCGAAGCAUGGUUGCUCUGAUGGAUACAUCCAUCACUGGAAAACUGAACAGUGCAGAAUUCCUCCGUCUGUUGAGGAAAGUGAACAUGUUCCAGGACAUCUUCUUUGCAACGGAUGUCUCCCUCACUGGAACUUUAUCAUUGAGUGAACUGAGAAAUGCAAUCAUGGCUUCAGGAAUGACGGUCAGUGAUGGCAUGUUGAACCUGAUGGCCGUACGCUAUGGUGGCUCGUCUGGAAACAUGUCCCUGGAAAGCUUCAUAAGCCUGGUCCUUCGCCUGGACUGCAUGGCCAAAAUAUUCCGGCAGCUUUCUGAAGGAUCAACCAUGUCUCUUCAGGAAUCUGAGGUAGUAAUUCAAAAGUGUUAAUAUAAUGUUUCAAGCUGUGUAAGUGCUGUCUUUGUAUGUUACUGUGUUAAAGUAUAACAUCAAUGUGACACACUUUCACAUCUUUCAUGGUUAUUAGGUGAGUUUUACUUUUUCUUUUUCAGUGGAUGUAUAUGUCAAUGUAUACAUAAACCAUUUACCUCUGGAUGAUGGAUCAACAAUGUUGGAAUAAUUCAGAUGGAGCUGAUGUACAACAUGUUGAACAAGUUGAUGUUAACUGUACAGUAUUUGCAAAAUGUCCGCAAUUUAAAAAAAAUAUUUAGUCAACAUUUUCCUCUAAUGUUGCUAGAAUGACCCUUACAAUUGAUCUUAUGAUAUCACAUUUAUUAUACUAGAGUAGUAUUUCUUUAAAAAAAACUUUACAAAAACUGUUUAAUAACCUUUAUAUAAAAUAGAAACAUUUAAUUAGCUAUUUGUUUGUCCUUUUUCCAAUAUGCAUGUUUUUUUGUUUGUUUUUGUUUUUAAGAUACUCAAAAUAUGCUUAAAAGAUGCUAAAAAUUGGUUAACUAACUUCAUAGCUAUUAUGAACUAUGUAGCGUAGGUAACCAAAGGAGUUAACAUUCAUUUUGUAACAUGUUUGCCUUGUAAUUGAUUUCAUUCAUUUGCAACAUUAUUUAAUAUAUAUUGGGAGUCAGGUGGCUGAGCGGUGAGGGAAGCGGGCUAGUAAUCUGAAGGUUGCCAGUUCGAUUCCCGGCCGUGCCAAAUGACGUUGUGUCCUUGGGUCUGCUAAAUGACUAAAUGUAAAUGUAAAUAUAUUGAUUGGUUGUUCUCGUGUAUGAAAUUAAUUGUGAAGCCUUGCUGUGUGUAUUCUUGUUCUCCUGAGACAUUCUCCUCAGCUCUGGCUUGUCCUUGUACUCAUUCUCUUUGCUAACUCUUUGCUGUCUCUCUGAUUUACAAAUUAAUAGUCAUGGUAGCGUAGGUAAGAGUUAACCUUCAUUUUGUAACAUGUUUGCCUUGUAAUUGAUUUCAUUCAUUUGCAACGUUAUUAAAUGUAUAUUUCAUUUAACCUUA